RNAcentral lists this ribosomal RNA (802 nucleotides) under uncultured bacterium. Its description in RNAcentral is "bacterial SSU rRNA". It matches the Rfam family "Bacterial small subunit ribosomal RNA", at positions 1 to 798 of the family's 1533-position model. The record is from RNAcentral.
UAGAGUUUGAUCCUGGCUCAGGAUGAACGCUAGCUACAGGCUUAACACAUGCAAGUCGAGGGGCAGCAUAACGAAAGCUUGCUUUUGUUGAUGGCGACCGGCGCACGGGUGAGUAACGCGUAUCCAACCUUCCCCAUAGUAGAGAAUAGCCCGGCGAAAGUCAGAUUAAUGCUCUAUGUUGUAUCAUGAGGACCUCUGAAUAAUACCAAAGGUUUACCGCUAUGGGAUGGGGAUGCGUCUGAUUAGGUUGUUGGCGGGGUAACGGCCCACCAAGCCCGCGAUCAGUAGGGGUUCUGAGAGGAAGGUCCCCCACAUUGGAACUGAGACACGGUCCAAACUCCUACGGGAGGCAGCAGUGAGGAAUAUUGGUCAAUGGACGGAAGUCUGAACCAGCCAAGUAGCGUGCAGGAUGACGGCCCUAUGGGUUGUAAACUGCUUUUAUAUAGGGAUAAAGUCGGGGACGUGUCCCCGUUUGUAGGUACUAUAUGAAUAAGGACCGGCUAAUUCCGUGCCAGCAGCCGCGGUAAUACGGAAGGUCCGGGCGUUAUCCGGAUUUAUUGGGUUUAAAGGGAGCGCAGGCUGAUGAUUAAGCGUGACGUGAAAUGUAGCCGCUCAACGGCUGAACUGCGUCGCGAACUGGUUAUCUUGAGUGAGUUCGAUGUUGGCGGAAUUCGUGGUGUAGCGGUGAAAUGCUUAGAUAUCACGAAGAACUCCGAUUGCGAAGGCAGCCAACAAGGCCUUUACUGACGCUAAAGCUCGAAGGUGCGGGUAUCGAACAGGAUUACAUACCCUGGUAGUCCGC